ACUGCUGACAUCAACUAGAAAUGACACUGAGUUUGCACUUCUGCCAUGAUCAAGACCUCAAAGUCAGUCAUACAGAAUUGGAACAACACUAGGACGAAAAUCAGUCAUACAGAUUUGGAACAACACCAGAGUUGGUGAGAUCGGGGCUCUGGAGACGGACGGGUGAGCGGCUCGGAUCAGAGUCCAGAUGAAGCUGCUGGUAUCAGAUGAGAGUUUAGCCCUCGAUGGCUCAGACAAAGACCGUGUUUGACUUCCCCUCAGGCUCAGAACAACAGAAAUGAGAGGUGAGAAGAUUCCAGAACGUCUGUGAGAAUCACAGGUGUUACCUGUCAUCACCUCGUGCUUGAAAUUUUAUCCUCUCGCCCUGGAAUACAACCCUUGCUUACAAAAAUGUGUUCUAAGAAUGUUUUUUACCCUCUGGUGUUGUUCUCGUUGGAGUCACGCUUGUGUUGUUUGAAAACCUGAAAAUGUAACGUUUUCUAUUUUCAGUAAAAUCAAUGUAAUAUAUUUUUGUUCCAUAAUAUUUUUGCUUUUUUAUUUUGUAUUUUGAGAGAAUUUCAUGGCACUAAU
This is a long non-coding RNA of Labeo rohita (rohu), 570 nucleotides long. RefSeq lists it as uncharacterized. The transcript is spliced from 4 exons. NCBI's taxonomy places the organism in Eukaryota, Metazoa, Chordata, Actinopteri, Cypriniformes, Cyprinidae. The record is from RefSeq and is a predicted model, not a curated record.